This 1346-nucleotide ribosomal RNA is filed under the name uncultured bacterium. Its description in RNAcentral is "partial 16S ribosomal RNA". It matches the Rfam family "Bacterial small subunit ribosomal RNA", at positions 28 to 1381 of the family's 1533-position model. The record is from RNAcentral.
GACGAACGCUGGCGGCGUGCUUAACACAUGCAAGUCGAACGGAAAGGCCCUGCUUUUGUGGGGUGCUCGAGUGGCGAACGGGUGAGUAACACGUGAGUAACCUGCCCUUGACUUUGGGAUAACUUCAGGAAACUGGGGCUAAUACCGGAUAGGAGCUCCUGCUGCAUGGUGGGGGUUGGAAAGUUUCGGCGGUUGGGGAUGGACUCGCGGCUUAUCAGCUUGUUGGUGGGGUAGUGGCUUACCAAGGCUUUGACGGGUAGCCGGCCUGAGAGGGUGACCGGCCACAUUGGGACUGAGAUACGGCCCAGACUCCUACGGGAGGCAGCAGUGGGGAAUAUUGCACAAUGGGCGGAAGCCUGAUGCAGCAACGCCGCGUGCGGGAUGACGGCCUUCGGGUUGUAAACCGCUUUCGCCUGUGACGAAGCGUGAGUGACGGUAAUGGGUAAAGAAGCACCGGCUAACUACGUGCCAGCAGCCGCGGUGAUACGUAGGGUGCGAGCGUUGUCCGGAUUUAUUGGGCGUAAAGGGCUCGUAGGUGGUUGAUCGCGUCGGAAGUGUAAUCUUGGGGCUUAACCCUGAGCGUGCUUUCGAUACGGGUUGACUUGAGGAAGGUAGGGGAGAAUGGAAUUCCUGGUGGAGCGGUGGAAUGCGCAGAUAUCAGGAGGAACACCAGUGGCGAAGGCGGUUCUCUGGGCCUUUCCUGACGCUGAGGAGCGAAAGCGUGGGGAGCGAACAGGCUUAGAUACCCUGGUAGUCCACGCUGUAAACGGUGGGUACUAGGUGUGGGGUCCAUUCCACGGGUUCCGUGCCGUAGCUAACGCUUUAAGUACCCCGCCUGGGGAGUACGGCCGCAAGGCUAAAACUCAAAGGAAUUGACGGGGCCCCGCACAAGCGGCGGAGCAUGCGGAUUAAUUCGAUGCAACGCGUAGAACCUUACCUGGGUUUAACAUGGAUCGGGAGUGCUCAGAGAUGGGUGUGCCUCUUUUGGGGUCGGUUCACAGGUGGUGCAUGGCUGUCGUCAGCUCGUGUCGUGAGAUGUUGGGUUAAGUCCCGCAACGAGCGCAACCCUUGUUCACUGUUGCCAGCACGUUAUGGUGGGGACUCAGUGGAGACCGCCGGGGUCAACUCGGAGGAAGGUGGGGAUGACGUCAAGUCAUCAUGCCCCUUAUGUCCAGGGCUUCACGCAUGCUACAAUGGCUGGUACAGAGAGUGGCGAGCCUGUGAGGGUGAGCGAAUCUCGGAAAGCCGGUCUCAGUUCGGAUUGGGGUCUGCAACUCGACCUCAUGAAGUCGGAGUCGCUAGUAAUCGCAGAUCAGCAACGCUGCGGUGAAUACGUUCCCGGGGCU